This 2585-nucleotide long non-coding RNA is filed under the name Equus caballus (horse). RNAcentral's name for it is "lncRNA (ENSECAG00000059267.1)". The record is from RNAcentral. Lineage: Eukaryota; Metazoa; Chordata; Mammalia; Perissodactyla; Equidae.
GUGAAAGUGAUACUUAUCAUUUCUGAGCUUAGGCCUUAAGAAGCGUCGUGCGUUUCCAUUUGCCUCCCUGUGCCUCUGUCAUCACAAUGAGAAGAAUAUGCCCUAACUGGCCCUGAGUCCCCGAAGAAGGAUUAGAGAAACGUGGAGCAGAGCCCCGAGUCUGAAGUGAGAGCUACCCCUAGCUGAUCCAUGAACUGAGCAAGGAAGUUGUUCACACAUGUAUGCCACUGAGACUUUGGCACUGUUCUUCUGUGGCACUAGUUGACCAAAACAGCUUUCUGCAAAUGGGAUGGGAGCAUCGCUAAUGCUCAGUGAUCUGGGAACAUGGCAUUAAUUGAUAAUGAUCAAGAAGACACUCUUUCACCACCAAUAUGAAACCCUGGGGAAGUCAAUUGAAGUGGAAAACUAUAUAUUUUGUGCAGAGGCUUCAAAGAAGGGGAAAUUAUGGUUUCAUUAGAUCAUCCCUCCAUUCUGCAAGCGUAGAGCAGGUCUGUGCAAUUGACUUUUUGAGGCCACUCUGUAAGCCUGCGCUGGGACGCAGUGAGCGCUUACCAUGAAACGGAUCAUUAAUUCUCCUCCUAUUUUGCUGCAUUGAAGCAGAAGAUGAUUAUUAACCUAGCAACAUGGGGAAACAGCUAAGGCUUUCUAAGCCCUUGGGAUGGAGAGACACUGCUAAUUAUGUGUGGCAAUCCGAUUUUUCUUCCUCUUUUAUAAAGGCAACGUUGUCCUCUUCGUCUUUCUAAGUCCUGUGCUGCGGCUAGCAGUGCAGUCUGAUGUAAGAAGGAUAUUUGUUCCCAACCCUUUCCAGAACCCUAUUCUUAAUUCCAAAUUCAGUGAGAGGCAAUCAAUUCUAUGCAGACGCUGAGCAUUCGCAGCAUCGCAGCCUGAUCAAAGUGUGUCUGGUACUGGUCCAGGAAGAAAACACAGCAAAUAGCCCUGGAAAACAAGGAGCUUUAGCUUGAGGGUCCAGCGCCCCUCCCCCAGCUUUCAUCCCCGCUCAACCUCAGAGAUGAGCAAAUACAGCUUCAGAAGGGGCCGACCACUAAAAGGAGGACCACUGCAACAGGUGGAAUAAUUUCUAAACUCCUGUUGUCCUUCUUUGUUUGGAUAACUCCAUCCUUUUUCUCAGUCUAUCUGAAGGAGAUUGAACCGUGCCAUUAUUUAGUCUUAUUUUCUUUGGGACCUGGAAGGCAGCCUUGCUAUCAUUUACCUAGUUUUCAGCCAUGUGGACACAAAUCAAAACUCUAUCAGGAAAGUAAUAGGUGUCACUUGUCCCUGUUUUGAGGACUGAUGGAGGCUCAGCAGUCAUCCUGCCACAAGGAAUUGAAGGAAGUCAAUCUCUGUUUCAUUGUCCUGAAGCUAUUUCUCACCGAAGGGACGCUGGAUUUUUACCCACUUCGAUUAAUGAAAGAAACUUCUAGUUCUGGCACUCUUUGUUAGGAGGAAAGAUAAAUAAGGAAAGGAUUUACCUACAACCCGGCCUCGUGAUGAAAUAAUGAAUGGUCAGUGCCAGGAGGUUUUAGAAAGCAGGGUUCUUCCUUCUUCUCUCAAGUGGUCCAGAUGUUGGAACCUCACCUCUGGGAGGACGUGUUCCAAAGCACAUCCAGGUCUCCCAGUGGGAUCACGUGGAAACUUCAGUGGGCCCUGCUGUAUUCUAAGUGGGGGUGUCACUCUGAGGUUGUCAAAUCUCCCAGGGAACCAUGGGGUGAUGGUCUCUAUGCAUCCCGCCUGACGUGUGGUGGGCAUGAAUGCUGCCUUGUGUGGUACGGCAUAUUUGGUUUGCUUCCUAGCAGUGUUUAUCUGGCUUGUUUUUUUGUCCUUGGGAGUUUUGCUAAGAAUGGUGAUGAGUGGACAGUCAACAAUCCCGGAAUCUGGGUUAGAUAAACUCCAUGACUUGGACAGCUUCUACAAGUCUUCUCAAAAAGGGUCUUACGGCCUCAGAAAAUGAGCUUGAAAUGUAUUUUGGUCUCACUCAAAAGAAAUCCCCAAUUCUGCAGCUCUUUUUGUGACAAUAUCUUGCUAGCAGAGAGCACCCUUAGGACAGGACCUUCCUGGGAUGGCUCCCUUGUCCUCGUGCUCAGAAAGAAGUGGACAGCAAGUUGGGGUCAGUGAUCGCCUCUAUUCCGGGCUGUGGAUGAAGCAUUCUUCUCUGAGAGCCAAGAGGAGCCCUGUCUCAGAUCUUCACCAGGAGAACCUGGUGGGGUUCCUGCCGGUAAACCCCACAAAAGCGUGAGAGCGCCUGAAGACGCCACCUCAGGGGUUUCUCUCGUGGUGGAACGCACUCAACCUCCAGAAAUUCACCCCGGUCCCCAGCGGCGUGUCCUGCCGGCUCACGGCUCCCGCCGCUUCUACUCCAGGUGCGCUGAUCUCAGCUUUGGCCCUCUGGAGUCUCCUGUUUCUCCAGAUUUGGGGCUGGCGGUUGGCCCUGCAACCUCAGUUCUCUGCAAUCGAGCGACAGAGCUGCAAGGAGAACAGAAGUCUUCUGGAUACUUGUCCAAAAGGAGUGAGGUUUUCACUAACUAUGAUACUGUGCAUUUGGACUGCAACAAGAGAAGGGUCAUCUGGACUUGUCAAUGCACUGCUGG